This is a long non-coding RNA of Megachile rotundata (alfalfa leafcutting bee), 775 nucleotides long. The record is from RefSeq and is a predicted model, not a curated record. NCBI's taxonomy places the organism in Eukaryota, Metazoa, Arthropoda, Insecta, Hymenoptera, Megachilidae.
AAACAUUUCUGUAUUUUAAUACAGUUGUCUUACUAUAUUUUAUAUUGUCUACUGUAUUACUUAAACAAUUUAAACGUUAAUCAUCUCAUACAAGUACUGCAUUAUUUAUCCAGUGUUGAUAAAAUGCGAAUAUUUAUGUGUAAUAGAUGAUUAAAUUGGUGGUAAAAAAUAUAAUUCAUUAAAAAUUUAAAAAUUCGUGCAUAUUGCCAUAGUUGAAUUCGUAAGUUAAUUUCCAAUACUAGAAAACAACGGGAAUUACAAUUUCGCGAGUAUGUAAUAAGUCGUUUAAGGAUCUUAUUUCUAGAAAAUAAUUAGCAAAUCAUGAAGUCCUAAUUCAUGAGUAUUGUGUAAAUCGAGCUACCUCAAAUACUUCAACACUAUUCACCGAUUCAUAAAUGAAUAACCAAGGAUGUUCACCAAAACUACAUCAAAUUUACAUUGGGUAACAGUAUUACUCAUGGAAUACUUCAUACUUAAGGUGUAGUUGAUGUAGAUUGUCUAGGAAAAGGUUUGAACUUGGAAAACAGAUUUAAGGACUGAAUUCUAAAACUAACAAAAUAUAUAGAUUGCAAUAAAGCUUGGAGGUAUAUAAAAACUGUUAUAAUAAAAUUGUUCAAUAGCUUUGUAGUUAAUGUAUGAAAUUUAAGUUUUUAUUUCGUUUAUAUUUAAAGUAUAAACAACCAGCAUCAUUAUACUUUUUACGACAAUUGUUAUAUAAAAAAUAAAAUACAAUAUGCCGCAAAACAAAAUAAAAAAAUAUAUGUAAAAAAAAAAA